This 253-nucleotide ribosomal RNA is filed under the name uncultured bacterium. Its description in RNAcentral is "partial 16S ribosomal RNA". It matches the Rfam family "Bacterial small subunit ribosomal RNA", at positions 524 to 776 of the family's 1533-position model. The record is from RNAcentral.
UACAGAGACUGCAAGCGUUAUUCGGAAUUACUGGGCGUAAAGCGUGCGCAGGCGGUUAUGUAAGACAGUUGUGAAAUCCCCGGGCUCAACCUGGGAACUGCAUCUGUGACUGCAUAGCUAGAGUACGGUAGAGGGGGAUGGAAUUCCGCGUGUAGCAGUGAAAUGCGUAGAUAUGCGGAGGAACACCGAUGGCGAAGGCAAUCCCCUGGACCUGUACUGACGCUCAUGCACGAAAGCGUGGGGAGCAAACAGG